Molecule: RNA transcript, 1093 nt
Organism: Columba livia (rock pigeon)
Lineage: Eukaryota; Metazoa; Chordata; Aves; Columbiformes; Columbidae
Gene: TXNDC17
Gene name: thioredoxin domain containing 17
Exons: 4
Source: RefSeq, a predicted model, not a curated record
AUGAGCAGGCUCCAACACAGCUGUUACAGCUCCCUACCGCGCCGUUGUCUCCGCUGCUUGUACCUCCUGCGGGUCCCGCGCGGCUCGGGGGCCGGACGCCCGCUCGGCCGUGUCUGCCGGCGGGCGCUGGGCAGACGAGGGGGCCGCCCCGCGCCGCCUCCCUGCGGCCAGCCUCGCCUCGGCGCUGUGGGCGACAGCCCGCGGCGGCUGCUCCCGCUCCGCCUCGGCCUCACGGCACCCCGGGCGGGCGGCACCGGCACCAGCGGCCCGCUGAGGAGCGGCGGGGGGCCUGGGCCUGGGCCGGCGCCUCCCGGGACGCGGUUCAAACCUGCUCCUGGCAACCGCCGCCGCAGGGGCCGCCGGGAAGCGGCGAGGCGGCCGCGGCGCCGCGGAACUACGGUGCCCGGGCGGAGCCCGCCCCUUCCCGCCGCCGCCGCCGCCAUGGGCUGGGAGGAGAAGCAGGUCCGCGGGUACCCCGAAUUCGUGCAGACGGCGCAGCGCUACCAUGGCCGGCCCAUCUUCGCGCUCUUCUGCGGCGACAAGGAUGCCGCGGGCAGGAGCUGGUGCCCGGACUGCGUGACCGCUGAACCAGUUGUGAGGAAGGAACUUCACAACAUGCCUGAUGAGUCCGUAUUUAUCUACUGCCUAGUAGGAGACAGAGCCUAGAAUUUUAACAGGCUAACUUCAAACCGCACCCCUAGGACCUGUACUAAACUCCUUCCUCCUGAACAGCUGGAAAGAUCCCAACAAUGAAUUCAGGAAGAACCUGAAAUUAACAGGAGUGCCUACACUACUUAAAUAUGGAACACCUCAGAAGCUGGUUGAAGAAGAAUGUUUCAAAGCAGAGCUGGUGCGCAUGUUGUUUACUGAAGACUAAAUCCUCCAGCAGUCAAUCAUUUACGAAGACCUUAAACUCAAGUAAUUUGCAAUGUCCUUUCAAGGAAUCCUAAACCUUUUAAAAACUUUAAUGGUUAAUUACUUCAGACUAGUCAAGAUGUUAUUAAAUUCUAGGUCCAAACCUUCCAGUAAAAUCCUCCAACAAAAAAAACGGUAUCUUUCCUUCCAUGUUCAAAUAAACUUAACUUUGCAAACA